AUGACAUUACCACUACAGUUGCUACAUCUACAACUACUGCAACUAUCGCUACUACACCAACUACUACUACUAAUACUACUACUGACGAAGUUAAUGUUAAUAGUACUAGUAGUAAUAAAAAAAAAAAAAAAAAAAAACGUAACACCAGAAACAUAUUUAACCCAAUAUAACGAAAAUUGUACUAUUAAUAAUAAUAAUAAUAUCAGCUAUAAUAAUAAUUAUAGUAACAAUAAUGAUGUUAAUUACAUUCACAAUAAAUGCUUAAGUGUAGAAAAGAAAUAUGAAGAUAUGCUAUCGGAAUAUAAAUCUUUUUUAUUAUGCUCUUCCUUAUCACAAAGCAGUAGCAUGAAUAGCUGUAGUAGCAACACAACUAUGUCAAAUAACACAACUUCUAACGACUGUAAUAAAAAGAAUCUACAAAAAUUGAAAAAUAAAAGUUUUUAUCAGACAUUUGAGGAAUUAAAAAAAGCAAAUAAUUUAUAUUUCUAUUUCUAUGUUACAAUUUCUGUACAUGGUUAUAAUGAAAAAAAAUAUUAUUUCAAAACGGAAAUAGCAAAAGUUAAUUUUUACGAUUGUAAUUACUGUUGGUCUAAACCAUCUAAUUUCAAGAUGAAAAUAAUGAAUCCGUCAUUGACUCUUAUCGUAUUUGAAUUAAAAUCAUAUGACACGGUAAAAAGUGAUAUUAUCGCCUGCGCUUGUUUCCCGAUAAAAUGCCUAAGAGAAGGUAUUAGAUUUGUUCCUUUAUGUGAUAAAUAUUUGAAGGAAAUAAAGGGAUCCGGAAUUUUAGUUAAUUUAAAAAUUGAUUCCAUUAAUAGUUGAGGAUUGUGACGAAAAAAAAAAAAAAUAAUAAUAAAACAAAAAUAGCCUACA
Molecule: long non-coding RNA, 870 nt
Organism: Piliocolobus tephrosceles (Ugandan red Colobus)
Lineage: Eukaryota; Metazoa; Chordata; Mammalia; Primates; Cercopithecidae
Source: Ensembl